RNAcentral lists this ribosomal RNA (492 nucleotides) under uncultured bacterium. Its description in RNAcentral is "partial 16S ribosomal RNA". It matches the Rfam family "Bacterial small subunit ribosomal RNA", at positions 29 to 507 of the family's 1533-position model. The record is from RNAcentral.
AGUGAACGCUGGCGGUAGGCCUAACACAUGCAAGUCGAACGGCAGCACAGUAAGAGCUUGCUCUUACGGGUGGCGAGUGGCGGACGGGUGAGGAAUACAUCGGAAUCUACUUUUUCGUGGGGGAUAACGUAGGGAAACCUACGCUAAUACCGCAUACGACCUACGGGUGAAAGCAGGGGAUCUUCGGACCUUGCGCGAUUGAAUGAGCCGAUGUCGGAUUAGCUAGUUGGCGGGGUAAAGGCCCACCAAGGCGACGAUCCGUAGCUGGUCUGAGAGGAUGAUCAGCCACACUGGAACUGAGACACGGUCCAGACUCCUACGGGAGGCAGCAGUGGGGAAUAUUGGACAAUGGGCGCAAGCCUGAUCCAGCCAUACCGCGUGGGUGAAGAAGGCCUUCGGGUUGUAAAGCCCUUUUGUUGGGAAUGAAAAGCAGCAGGUUAAUACCCCGCUGUUCUGACGGUACCCAAAGAAUAAGCACCGGCUAACUUCGUG